UACAGAGGGGGCGAGCGUUGUUCGGAAUUACUGGGCGUAAAGGGCGCGUAGGCGGCCUCUUAAGUCGAACGUGAAAUCCCCGGGCUCAACCCGGGAACUGCGUCCGAUACUGGGAGGCUUGAAUCCGGGAGAGGGAUGUGGAAUUCCAGGUGUAGCGGUGAAAUGCGUAGAUAUCUGGAGGAACACCGGUGGCGAAGGCGGCAUCCUGGACCGGUAUUGACGCUGAGGCGCGAAAGCCAGGGGA
Molecule: ribosomal RNA, 244 nt
Filed under: uncultured bacterium
Lineage: Bacteria
Description: partial 16S ribosomal RNA
Rfam family: Bacterial small subunit ribosomal RNA
Source: RNAcentral